This 595-nucleotide long non-coding RNA is filed under the name Homo sapiens (human). RNAcentral describes it as "non-protein coding lnc-TMEM114-6:1". Lineage: Eukaryota; Metazoa; Chordata; Mammalia; Primates; Hominidae. The record is from RNAcentral.
UAAAUCAAGAUCAAUCUAAAUACAUAUGAAAUCAAUAGAAGGAAGUAAUGAUGAUGAUAGUGAAGACAACAAAUUAUUGAGCAUUGUCCAAAUGCCAAACAUCCUGCUAGAUACAUGCACGGUGUUUUCUCGUUUAAUCUUGAGGCAUCUCCACCCUUGUUCUCCCUCUUUUAUGGAUAAGAAAAACUGAGGCCCACAGAUUUAAACAUGUUUCCCCAAGAUCUUACAACUUCCUUGCUGCCUGCAAAGCCACUGAUCAUGGUGCCUCAUGCCUAGAGCCAGAGCCCAGGAUGAACAAUUGAUGUUUCCCUGCUAACAGUCUCACAGUUCCUUGUAUCAACUGUUUUACUGGCUUCUGGCUAGAGUUCCUCCCUUCCGAGACCACAGACACAUUCAUGGGACCACAAGAAACUACAGAUGCAUCUUGGGUUUAGAGGCCCAUGUGAGGUUGCGCUCACAUACAGAAGUGAGGAGGGGAACACCAGAAGUCCUCCUGGCAUGAGGCAAUGAGGUAGAAAUGUAGACAAAGGCCAUGUCAAGAACGGCAGUGAUUUUGAAUUUAGGGAGCCAUCGACAAUUGGUAAGUAAUGGAAGC